UACGGGGGGGGCAAGCGUUGUUCGGAAUUACUGGGCGUAAAGGGCUCGUAGGUGGCCAACUAAGUCAGACGUGAAAUCCCUCAGCUUAACUGGGGAACUGCGUCUGAUACUGGAUGGCUUGAGUUCGGGAGAGGGAUGCGGAAUUCCAGGUGUAGCGGUGAAAUGCGUAGAUAUCAAGAGGAACACCUGAGGUGAAGACGGGUUGCUGGGCUGACACUGACGCUGAGGCGCGAAAGCCAGGGGAGCAAACGGG
This 253-nucleotide ribosomal RNA is filed under the name uncultured bacterium. RNAcentral's name for it is "partial 16S ribosomal RNA". It matches the Rfam family "Bacterial small subunit ribosomal RNA", at positions 524 to 776 of the family's 1533-position model. The record is from RNAcentral.